GAUGAAGAACGCAGCGAAAUGCGAUAAGUAGUGUGAAUUGCAGAAUUCAGUGAAUCAUCGAAUCUUUGAACGCACAUUGCGCCUCCUGGUAUUCCGGGAGGCAUGCCUGUUCGAGCGUCAUUAAAAUCACUCAAGCUUAGGUUUGCCUAUUGCUUGGUCUUGAAGAUGGAAGCUAAGUAAUUAGAAUCCUCUUCGAAAUCCAAUGGCGAAGACCCUUGCUCUCCCAAGUGUAGUAAUAACUUAUUCACUGAAGGAAGCGACUAAUCUUCCGCCGUAACCCCCAUAUUUUCUAUGAUUGACCUCGGAUCAGGUAGGGAUACCCGCUGAACUUAAGCAUAUCAAUAAGCGGAGGA
RNAcentral lists this unclassified non-coding RNA (353 nucleotides) under soil metagenome. Its description in RNAcentral is "partial contains 5.8S ribosomal RNA, internal transcribed spacer 2, and large subunit ribosomal RNA". The stretch from base 1 to 120 matches the Rfam family "5.8S ribosomal RNA", at positions 35 to 154 of the family's 154-position model. The record is from RNAcentral.